Eriocheir sinensis (Chinese mitten crab) is the source of this 488-nucleotide long non-coding RNA. RefSeq lists it as uncharacterized. NCBI's taxonomy places the organism in Eukaryota, Metazoa, Arthropoda, Malacostraca, Decapoda, Varunidae. The record is from RefSeq and is a predicted model, not a curated record. The transcript is spliced from 4 exons.
CGUCUUCUAUUUACGCCUGGUUGCUCAACUCGAGUUGCUCGGAGCUGAUUUUCCGUGUUCUAUUUACGCCAAGCAACACGGGUUGGGGCAACUGUAGUUGCUCGGAGGGGCAACCACAGCAACCACGCUCGGGACAGUGGUUGGUCGAGGUGGUGUCUGGCAACCCCAUCGUGGUUGCAGAUCAGCUGAUACACCAAGGCGUCCCUUAAGUUAUAAAUGUCCUUUCUGUACUUUGGUGGCACCAACUAGUACCUACAUUAUUGAUCAUCAAGUGUUUGCCCACUCACACCUUGUUCAACAGAGAGAAGAUGCACUGAUUGUAGAAGUAUCAGGCUCACAAGGUGAUGUCUCUGAGUCGCCUGAUGAACCGUUAACUCUUGAAGUGACAUGUGAAGGAACCCCUCACCCCUUUGAGGGAAGUACACAAUUUGCCUCAUGGGAACUUCACAGCAUUACAGUGCAGGCAGAAGUGGAGUAACCUGUUGAAG